This 253-nucleotide ribosomal RNA is filed under the name uncultured bacterium. RNAcentral describes it as "partial 16S ribosomal RNA". It matches the Rfam family "Bacterial small subunit ribosomal RNA", at positions 524 to 776 of the family's 1533-position model. The record is from RNAcentral.
UACAGGGGGUGCAAACGUUGCUCGGAAUCAUUGGGCGUAAAGCGCACGUAGGCGGUUCGUUAUGUCGGAUGUGAAAGCCCUUGGCUUAACCGAGGAAGUGCAUCCGAAACUGGCGAGCUAGAGUACUAAAGAGGAUCGCGGAAUUCCCGGUGUAGAGGUGAAAUUCGUAGAUAUCGGGAGGAACACCGGUGGCGAAGGCGGCUCACUGGCCCGGUACUGACGCUGAGGUGCGAAAGCGUGGGGAGCAAACAGG